Molecule: ribosomal RNA, 495 nt
Filed under: uncultured bacterium
Lineage: Bacteria
Description: partial 16S ribosomal RNA
Rfam family: Bacterial small subunit ribosomal RNA
Source: RNAcentral
GACGAACGCUGGCGGCGUGCCUAAUACAUGCCAGUCGAACGCUGAAGGAGGAGCUUGCUUCUCUGGAUGAGUUGCGAACGGGUGAGUAACGCGUAGGUAACCUGCCUUGUAGCGGGGGAUAACUAUUGGAAACGAUAGCUAAUACCGCAUAAGAGUAGAUGUUGCAUGACAUUUGCUUAAAAGGUGCAAUUGCAUCACUACCAGAUGGACCUGCGUUGUAUUAGCUAGUUGGUGGGGUAACGGCUUACCAAGGCGACGAUACAUAGCCGACCUGAGAGGGUGAACGGCCACACUGGGACUGAGACACGGCCCAGACUCCUACGGGAGGCAGCAGUAGGGAAUCUUCGGAAAUGGACGGAAGUCUGACCGAGCAACGCCGCGUGAGUGAAGAAGGUUUUCGGAUCGUAAAGCUCUGUUGUAAGAGAAGAACGAGUGUGAGAGUGGAAAGUUCACACUGUGACGGUAUCUUACCAGAAAGGGACGGCUAACUACGUG